Aedes albopictus (Asian tiger mosquito) is the source of this 501-nucleotide long non-coding RNA. RefSeq lists it as uncharacterized. The record is from RefSeq and is a predicted model, not a curated record. Lineage: Eukaryota; Metazoa; Arthropoda; Insecta; Diptera; Culicidae. The transcript is spliced from 3 exons.
GCAGUUGCAUGCAUCGGUAUUUGUGAACCAAUGAAAAUCGGCUGAUGGCUGCAAUGAGAACUUUCAAAACAAAGAAAAAAAAAUCGGACCAGCAGCAGCAGCAGCCGCAGCAGUAAACGUACUUAUAAGAGUCGGAAACGGUUUCCAUCCGGAGGCAUUGGCGGUCGUCCUCAUCGGUGCCCUACAGCUGCAAAUUUCUAUGUCGCUAGAACCAGACGACAACAUCCGGAUGGUUCGGCAACGAGGCAUGAGGCGCAUCGUCCCCCCACGGCGCUGUUUCCUUAUGCACGGUAGCGCUUCCAACGCUAGGACAAUCAAGUGUGGAUUGACCUUCCCUUGAUUCGAUCUCCAAACCAGCGGCUGAAGCUUUUCGGGCAUUUCGUCGCUUCGUGAUUGCUGACAACAAUGAAGCUGGAGCAGAAAACAACCUUUUUACAUGGCAUAUAGUAUGAAUGCAUAUUAGGGUGUAAUUAAUAAAUGAAAUUGUUUCAUUAAUUCUUA